RNAcentral lists this ribosomal RNA (478 nucleotides) under uncultured bacterium. Its description in RNAcentral is "partial 16S ribosomal RNA". It matches the Rfam family "Bacterial small subunit ribosomal RNA", at positions 28 to 523 of the family's 1533-position model. The record is from RNAcentral.
GACGAACGCUGGCGGCGUGCUUAACACAUGCAAGUCGAACGGUAAGGCCCUUCGGGGUACACGAGUGGCGAACGGGUGAGUAACACGUGGGUGAUCUGCCCUGCACUUCGGGAUAAGCCUGGGAAACUGGGUCUAAUACCGGAUAGGACCACGGCCUGCAUGGGUGGUGGUGGAAAGCUUUUGCGGGGUGGGAUGGGGCCGCGGCCUAUCAGCUUGUUGGUGGGGUGAUGGCCUACCAAGGCGACGACGGGUAGCCGGCCUGAGAGGGUGACCGGCCACACUGGGACUGAGAUACGGCCCAGACUCCUACGGGAGGCAGCAGUGGGGAAUAUUGCACAAUGGGCGCAAGCCUGAUGCAGCGACGCCGCGUGAGGGAUGACGGCCUUCGGGUUGUAAACCUCUUUCAGCACCGACGAAGCGCAAGUGACGGUAGGUGCAGAAGAAGGACCGGCCAACUACGUGCCAGCAGCCGCCGUAA